RNAcentral lists this ribosomal RNA (253 nucleotides) under uncultured prokaryote. RNAcentral's name for it is "partial 16S ribosomal RNA". It matches the Rfam family "Bacterial small subunit ribosomal RNA", at positions 524 to 776 of the family's 1533-position model. The record is from RNAcentral.
GACGUAGGGGGCAAGCGUUGUCCGGAAUCAUUGGGCGUAAAGCGCUCGUAGGUGGAUCGGUAAGUCUGCAAAGAAAGACCCGGGCUCAACUCGGGGAACGGUGUGGAUACUACCGAUCUUGAGGCAAUCAGAGGAUGAUGGAAUUCCCGGUGUAGCGGUGAAAUGCGUAGAGAUCGGGAGGAACACCAGAGGCGAAGGCGGCGACCUGGACAAGUACUGACACUCAACUACGAAAGCGUGGGUAGCAAACAGG